GGAUGACAGGGCAUUUGGGCCAGAGGGUCAGUUAAUACCAGCUUGUGGCAUGAGCACAGCCCCAUGCCCCUGGGGCGGGAGCCUGGGCACAGAGCCUCUGGGUCAUGAAGGCCCCCACUCCCAGUUCGUCCACCGCCAGCUGCCGGGGUGAUGCCCCGAAGAGCGGGAGCCUGCUGGCCAGGGGCGCUUGGCAGCUCUUGUUCCUGCUCCUGCUCCUGUGUGGACCCGGUCUGGUGAAAUUCCACACCCCACUGCUGGGGCUGCAGGCAGCCCUGGCAAGUGUGGCCUCCCACUGCCUCUCGGUCUGCAUGCUGGGCCUCUGCCUCCUGUGCUGUAGCAGCCUACAGCCACCACUGUCCCUUUUAGCCAGCGUUUCCCUGGACCUGACCCAGCCACCCUGAGCAGGCUCCCGCUAGCCUCCAUCAGCCUGUGCCUAGUGGUUGCGGACAAGGAUACCAGCAAGGGAGAAGGAGGCCGUGGCUGUGCGACCAGCAAGGUGCCCAUUAGCACCAGGUUCCAGAGCCAUAGGACAAGCAAGAUGGCCUUCAGGUCUUCAUCCAAGCAGGCCCUCGCACGGCAAGUCAAGGCGACCUGUGUUCUCAUCAUUCUUCUGUAUAUCUGUGCCGCGUCUCUUUUUGUGCAGAUCUUAAAAUAAAUGAUCCAGUGUGAACCGGCCUCCGGGAUGUCCCUGACUUGCUUUGUCAGUGAGAGACUGAAUGGCCUCAGAUCUGUCCCCUGAAGCCUUUACUGGGCUCAGGGCAAGGGUGGGUGGUACCCAGCAUGCAAGCCCCAUGCAUCCCAGGGGCCUGGCUGGGGGACCUGAUCUCAGCUCUGUCACUGCUGUGUGUCCUUGGGGAGGUUUCUUCCCCCUUCUCAGCCCCA
RNAcentral lists this long non-coding RNA (882 nucleotides) under Equus caballus (horse). RNAcentral's name for it is "lncRNA (ENSECAG00000058263.1)". Lineage: Eukaryota; Metazoa; Chordata; Mammalia; Perissodactyla; Equidae. The record is from RNAcentral.